Molecule: long non-coding RNA, 920 nt
Filed under: Suricata suricatta (meerkat)
Lineage: Eukaryota; Metazoa; Chordata; Mammalia; Carnivora; Herpestidae
Description: lncRNA (ENSSSUG00005019054.1)
Source: RNAcentral
GGGCCCAAGAGAGGACCCCAAGUGGGCACAGGCCUCCUGGUGAAAUGCCACCCAAGUUUCAAGCUAUGAGAACACAUUCUGUAACCUUAUUUGGUGACUGGGUUUGUGGCUUUUGCAGUAACACCUGGCUUUCCUGUCGCAGGUGCUCACACUUUUGUCCUCUCUCAAUAGUGUCUUGGGAGGAGCCAGCCUGAAGGUCUGGGUUGUGGAGUGCAGCUGUGGCCCCAGGAUGAGAUCACAGUUUGGGUUUCUUUUCCUCCAGAUUAUGAUUAGCCGCGAGGACGGGGAAGGAGCAUCCAGGGAGGUUGUCCGUCUGCCUUUCUGCAGGGCCCCUUCUUGAAGCUCCAGGAGCUGCCAGGUCUUGAAGGAGUCCCUAUGCCCUGGGAGCGUCGGAGCUGGCAGUAGGUGGCCAGUGGGAACUGGAGCAGCUCAGAUCCCAGUCUGGCGGGGGGAAGGAGACCCUGGCAGGCAUCUGCAUCCUGCCCCGAGGACUUCAAACAUGCUCAGCAGUCUGUCACUAAGAAACAGACCCAAGGCCCCUCUCCACCUUCUUCUCUUCACAGCCCUGGAGAGGCUGCUGCUCUGAGUCUUUUUCCAGCUCCUCGUUACCUCUCCACCCUCCAUGAGGCACCACUGCCUCGUGGGAGAGACGGGUACAGCACGAAGAGCUCGUACAGCUGCUCUAUGUCCGCUGUGCAUGGAUACAGCCGCGUGAAAUCACACUUAGGACGCCACCAAGGGCCCCCCCAGCCUGGUACCCCUUGCACGGAUUGGUCAGGUAGCGAGUUGUGCCUUGGAAGGAAGGAAGCCUCUAUCUGGGGCUCUAGCCUCUGCACUCCGGAAUACCAAGGAUGCUGGCAGGCUGCCAGGGGCUUCCAACCUAUCGUCCAUCCAGGAUGAAGUUGGAGAUGGAGGCCGCA